Molecule: ribosomal RNA, 253 nt
Filed under: uncultured bacterium
Lineage: Bacteria
Description: partial 16S ribosomal RNA
Rfam family: Bacterial small subunit ribosomal RNA
Source: RNAcentral
UACGUAGGGUGCAAGCGUUGUCCGGAAUUAUUGGGCGUAAAGAGCUCGUAGGCGGUUCGUCGCGUCGGCUGUGAAAACCCGGAGCUCAACUCCGGGCCUGCAGUCGAUACGGGCGGACUGGAGUAUUGCAGGGGAGACUGGAAUUCCUGGUGUAGCGGUGAAAUGCGCAGAUAUCAGGAGGAACACCGGUGGCGAAGGCGGGUCUCUGGGCAACUACUGACGCUGAGGAGCGAAAGCGUGGGGAGCAAACAGG